CGACCGGGACGGACAGUCGCGGGGUGCAGCCCAACGGCUGCAUCAUGAGGAAAGUCCGGGCUCCACAGGGCAAGGAUAACGGGUAACGCCCGCCCAGAGCGAUCUGAGGAAAAGUGCAACAGAAAUAUACCGCCUCGUCCUUUUAUACCAGUCAGGAGACUGCAAGCAAUGUCUCCCGUCUGCGCCAAAAAAGCCAAUAAAGCUCCGCUUUGACGGCAGAGGAGAAAGAACGAAAACCGUUCUCCCGUCCCCCCAACCGACAAAGCCCCGCUUUGACGGCAGAGGAGGCGCAACGGAAUGUAUGAGCUUUGCCGCUUGCGGCGAAGCGAAGGAUAUGAAGUUUGCGCCGACGAGGUAAGGGUGGAAACGUGCGGUAAGAGCGCACGCAUCGGCGUGGAAGCGUCCGUUGCUGUAAACUCUAUCCGGAGCAACACCGUGGAGGAAACAAGGCUUGCCCGGCUGUUUCCGAGGAGGUGGCUGGAGCGCACCGGCAACGAUGCGCCUAGAUAGAUGACUGUC
RNAcentral lists this RNase P RNA (519 nucleotides) under Oscillibacter sp. RNAcentral's name for it is "partial RNase P RNA component class A". It matches the Rfam family "Bacterial RNase P class A", at positions 1 to 320 of the family's 367-position model. From Rfam's summary of the family: Ribonuclease P (RNase P) is a ubiquitous endoribonuclease, found in archaea, bacteria and eukarya as well as chloroplasts and mitochondria. Lineage: Bacteria; Bacillati; Bacillota; Clostridia; Eubacteriales; Oscillospiraceae. The record is from RNAcentral.